Molecule: long non-coding RNA, 959 nt
Organism: Capsicum annuum
Lineage: Eukaryota; Viridiplantae; Streptophyta; Magnoliopsida; Solanales; Solanaceae
Exons: 3
Source: RefSeq, a predicted model, not a curated record
CAAUUGUGUCCUCUCAAAAAAAUCUGAAAAGAUGAUCUUGACCAAGAAGGUCCAGAUCCAAAUAAAACGCCCUAGCUUUAUAGAUAGGGUUUACUGAGCCUUCAUUUUCACCUUUCCCAAAUGUUGCCGUGGAGAGCUAUCGCUACUCUUGUCUUCCGAUUCCUCAUUCUUUGGAUCAUCAUUCUGUCCAAAGAAACGGGCUCAAUUGUGCCCUCUCAAAAAAAUUGAAAAGAUAAUUCAACCAAAAAUGGUUCAGAUCCAAAUAAAACGUCUGAAUCGUAGCUAGCAGGUCCCUUCUUCUACGUAUGGGUAGUCCACCACUUAUCCAUAUCUACAGAGAGCAGAAUAGACUUGCGGAUAGCUUAGCAAGAAGGGCCAUCACUACUGCACUACCAUCCAGCCUAGCUUUUAUCUCUCUGGUUAUGUCUAUUACUACUUUUUGGGUACCUCCUCAAGACCCUUUACAAAUUUUGUGCGGUGACGAACGAGGAGACAUUACUACUAGACGUGUUAAGGCCUAUGGGGUGUUGCCGCCUAUCGUCUCUGUUAAUAUACCUACUAGUUUGCCUACUAAUAUCUUGGCUUGGCCUAAUACUAAUGCUGGAUGUCCUGUAAAUAUAGCACCAAGUGCAGAUACUAUGGUGACAGUGCCACCAAACUCUUCUCUGUAGCGUUUUGUUAUGAUGCUAAUAUAUCUAUUUUAUAUUACCAAAAAAAAAAAAAAGAGAGAUGGAUGGCAAUUUUUAUGAUUUUCUUUUCUUUUUCUCUAAUUCGUUUUGGAGACAAUAUGUAUGUUGGGAUUCGUUUUAGUAAUAAGUACAUAUGCAAUGCUGGAUCCUUGGGGAAUCUUCUUAUUGAAUAUUGUUCACAAAAUUAAUUAGGCCCCCACCUAAUAUUUCACAAUAGAAACAAAAAAAAAAAGGUACACUCAAUAAUUGUCUCUUACGCUAAAUUAGGGU